AGGGUCUUUGUUAAUGGGGGAGGAUUCUGAUCCAGUGAUGAAUGACUCAGGAAUGUUCUGCUCUGGAGCUUUAUGUAGAGGUCACCAUUAUUUGAGGUGAUGUGGAAAUGUUAUUGGGAGUCUGCUCUGAGGGGUUGGGGACAGGAACUAGCCUGAAGGUGCUACACUCAGGGAAUCUCUUUCUGGGUACCAUGGGGUCUGUAUUUGGGGGUUAUCAUGAGGGAAUCUGUUAAUAAUGGGGCCUCAGUGAUCGAGGGCUGGCUAAUGGGGUCUCUAUUCUGGAUGUGUUACUGGGAAUCUCUAUCUCAGGGUAACUUGGGGGCUCCUGUGUCAGGAGAUGCUAGAGGGGACUCUUUGACUCUCUGUCAGAUAUCCAGGCCUCUAAGACUGCAUCUCCGCCCUCAGCAUCCAGGGAAACCAGCAGCAGAAGAGCAACCUGGAAAGGAGAAUCAUGUCUGUCACACCUUGAUGCAGGAUGUGGGGACAUCUGGGCUCUUCACCCCCCACCCCACCCCUGCUUCUCCCCAAGUGUUUGGGAUUUGGCCUUUCUGAAUUCUGCCUCUACCUAUCCAGCUAUGCCUUCUCAGGCUCAUGUGAAAUAGAAGUUAUUUUGCCUCCUUUACCUGCCCCUUAAGAGUGGAAGGCACCAGAAUUCAUUGUGGGGACCUCACUCCCUAAGAACUGUUUCUGGGACGUAGGUCAAGGGUUGGCUACCCACCUGGAGAUGGAGUUCUCUGAUGCGAUGUCCUUUGGGGUCCGGACUGUCGUGAAAGUGCGUUUGGGCUGUGUCACUAAAGGGGAAGGCAAGAUCUCAGGGACCUGAGGAGAAACUGAGUCACCAAAGUUGGGCUACCCACAGAAAAUCCUCAAAUUGGCUCUCCUCACCCUCCUCACCCAGAAGACCCCCGCUCUGACCUUUGUGUUCCCUGCGGCCUUUGCCAGUGACACGGGAAAAGUCCAUCCGAGGAGUCCGAGGUUCAUCCAGCUCCACGCCCACCCACUGGCCACUGGCGAACUCCGUGGUCCCGCAGAACCGAAGUGUGCCCGUCUGAGGAAAUAAGGGAGGAUAUGGUUUGGGUGGGUGAGUGGGGAGUGGUCCUUGAGAGGCCAUGAUAGAUGACUGGCACACAGGCAGCAUGGAGAGAGGAUGAGGGAGCCCUAAACUCAAAUCUAUUUGGACAUCACCAUUUACUGGCUAUGUGACUUAAGUCACUGUGUCUCUGUGUCCUCAUCUAUGAAAUAGAACUAGAAAUCACACCUACCUUAGAAGUUGGUUAUAGAACUACCCUGUCCAAUGCAGUAAACGGCCAUUAGCCACAUAUAACAAUUUAAAUUAACUGAAAUUAAAUUUAAAUUUAAUUUCCCUGGUUGCACUCACCCCAUUUCAAGGGCUCAAUAGCCACAUAUGGCUUAUGGCUAUUUUGUUGGGCAACACAGACCCAGAAUAUUUCCACCACCACAGAUGGAAAGAUCCAUUGGACAGGGCUGUGACAGCCUCAGAAGAGGGCCUGGGGCUGAGUGAGGGAUCAGUGAGUGCUGACUAUUAGUAUCUUGCACUUUGGUCAAAUGACCUUUUGGGCCUCAGCUUCAUCUGUAAAAUGGAGAUAGCAAAGCACUUCAUAGGCUGGCUGUCUGAUCGAAACAUUUGGAAUAUAUGUAAGUUCAUUUGGUUGCAGUGAUAACAGCCUCAGUGAGUAUGGCUGUUAUCGUGUGAGGCUGCUUCACUCUCUAAGGCUCAGUUCCUUAUCUAUAAAAUGGAUGAAUAGUGCCAACUCUGGAGGCUUGGUGUAGAGAUCAGAAUAGUGCCUGGCACACAGAAGAGCAUUUGUGAUGCACCAAGCCCUAUUCUAAGGGCUUUACUGAUUUUAAUUAAUUUAAGCCUCAUACGACUACUUGAGGUGGGUACCAUUAUUAGCCCCAUUUUAGAGAUGAAGAAACUGAUUCCUCAGAGAUGUGGAAUCAGCCCCAUUUUAGAGAUGAAGAAACUGAUUCCUCAGAGAUGAGGAAUCAUCUCUUCCUCAGAGAUGUGGAAUCAGUGGCCCCAGGUACCACAGCUAGAAAAUAGCAAAGCUGAGAUUUGCCUGAGCUCGUAACCACUGUGCUAUGCUGUUUCUCUAAGGGGCAGGUUGUUACUAUUGUUCUUAUCUUCAGACAAAAGGUUUCGCCUCUCUGAGCCUCUUACAGUCUUCUGGGUUGUAAAAUGGGGAGAAUCAACCCAUUUUGCUUUCAAAAUUGUCAUGUAGGGGAUGGCUGGGUGGCUCAGUGGUUAAGCGUCUGCCUUUGGCUCAG
Long non-coding RNA from Canis lupus familiaris (dog), 2289 nucleotides. RefSeq lists it as uncharacterized. Lineage: Eukaryota; Metazoa; Chordata; Mammalia; Carnivora; Canidae. The record is from RefSeq and is a predicted model, not a curated record. The transcript has 4 exons.